RNAcentral lists this ribosomal RNA (135 nucleotides) under Teratosphaeria nubilosa. RNAcentral describes it as "partial 18S ribosomal RNA". It matches the Rfam family "Eukaryotic small subunit ribosomal RNA", at positions 1698 to 1830 of the family's 1831-position model. Lineage: Eukaryota; Fungi; Ascomycota; Dothideomycetes; Mycosphaerellales; Teratosphaeriaceae. The record is from RNAcentral. RNAcentral also lists the same sequence under 1 other name.
UCAGUGAGGCGUCCGGACUGGCCCAGGGAGGUCGGCAACGACCACCCAGGGCCGGAAAGUUCGUCAAACUUGGUCAUUUAGAGGAAGUAAAAGUCGUAACAAGGUCUCCGUAGGUGAACCUGCGGAGGGAUCAUU